Molecule: long non-coding RNA, 477 nt
Organism: Cyprinus carpio (common carp)
Lineage: Eukaryota; Metazoa; Chordata; Actinopteri; Cypriniformes; Cyprinidae
Exons: 6
Source: RefSeq, a predicted model, not a curated record
UUAGUGCUAUAAUGAAAAGAAUAUAGAUAGGGGAGAUCCAAUCCGGUUUCAGCUAGUUUCUGUUCCGAUAGAACAUUAAUGCUUGCUUCAGUGUUUCCUAGACCCGGUUCUUACACUUUACUUAUCAGCGCGUAAGCUGCUUUAAUUGAUUUCUUUUUUUUUCUGAAAGCACACAAGCUUUACGCAACCAUGCCUAAAAGGAGCAAAGCUAACAAUGGCACCGAAGCAGCUGAGCCCAAGAGGCGGUUCCGAGAGACUUCAGGGUAAACCCCAAACAACAAAGUCUGAGCCCAAGCCAAAAGUGAAGAAGGCACCUGCAAAGGGCAAGAAGGCCAAGGAGGUAGAAAAGGCCAAACCAGAGGAGAAGAAAGUGGAUGCAAAGCCAGAGACUGAGGAGAAAAACUCCCGCGGAGAACGGAGAGACCAAAGAUGAGGUGGACAAUGAUGAAGCAGGAGGCGGACGGGGGGAGAGGCCGA